Molecule: non-coding RNA, 1968 nt
Organism: Camellia sinensis
Lineage: Eukaryota; Viridiplantae; Streptophyta; Magnoliopsida; Ericales; Theaceae
Source: RefSeq, a predicted model, not a curated record
CUGAAAAAGCUAGUCGGGAAAGAAAAUAAAUUAGGUUUAAGAAAUACACUCCCACACGCUCUAACUCUCUCAGACAUCUCUGUCUGCCUCUGCUCUCCUCUGGCUCUCUCUGUCUUUCUCCCUCUCUCUCGCUUUUGUCUCCAUCGUUAACGGAGCAUCACCGCCAUCGCACACGAGCACCACCUUCAUUGAUCAAUCCACCAUUGGAGCAUUACCCCAGGUAUGUCCUCUCUAUAGUCUCUAUUCCCCUAAUUUCAGCCUCUAGGGUUUUCUUCUGCCGUUUGCAUACCUUCACCCAAACCCAACCCCAAAUCGACCCAUGUUAAGGUUGAGGCAUUUGUUCAUUCAUUGUCCUUGGAUAUGGAGGAUAUGGGUUGAAUUACUAGAAUGGUGGAAUGUUCACUGGGUUACACCAUAAUCUUUUUCAAAUUUGUCACACUGGGGGUUUGGGUUUAAAUUUGGGAAACUGGAAAAGAAGAUGUGGAGGCCAUGGUUUGGUCAAUUUGGAAGGCUCAUUAAGUAUGUUUGUUUUUUUUCUAACUACUGCUCUUGCUUGUUUGUUUUUCUCUACCUACUGCUCUUACUUGGCCUGUUUCGUCCAUGCUUGUAUUUGUUGUUGUCUUCUGACCCUUUUGCUCACCAUGUGUUUGACAAAAUGUUCAAAUGAAACUGGACAAUUCUCAUGUGUUUGACAUCUGUUUAUGAGUUUUGGUAGUGCCCAGAUUGAAUUUAAUUGUUUUUUUCAAUUACCUGUUCACGAGCUCUUAUUAGGUGCAAUUUCAGUUUGAGAUUGAAUUUCAUUUUUUUUUGAAUGUUUGGGCCUAAUUCAUUUUUUUCAUUUUCAUUUAUGAGCUCUGUACAUCCAGGCACUGCUUUGGGCCUGAUUCGGUUUUUCUCCGCCAGUUGCUUUUCUUCUUUAAUCCACAAAAUGUUGCUGAUUUCUCUGCUCUUGUGGAGACAUGCCGAUUACUUCAAUAGUUUGUUCAAGAAAGUGGCAGUUGCAGCUACAACGAAUGUAGAACUUGGCAACAAAGAAUUAUCCCAAGCCAUUCAAAGAAAUAGCAGAGGGAGGUUGGUUUAUCAGAGCACCAAGAAGAUGGCCAGUGGACCCAAAUGUCCUAUUACUGGAAAGACAAUCCAAGGGGUAUGUAGGCCUCUUGUUUAUUUCAUAAUCCAAGGGAUAUUCUGUAGAGGGAAAACCAACUGUGGGGUUUAUGCUUGUGAACUUCAGGGAGGGUGUGACAGCUGUUGAAGAACCUACGAACUGCCCAAAUGUUUCCAUAUUGCACAUUGCACAUUGCACUUUGAUGAUGAGUUAGUAAACAGUGAAUUUGAGAGGAUGGCUCAAGCAUUUGCUGUGGGACCUUCUGCUAAUUCUCCUUUGCCUCUAACAUCAUUGGUAGUUCAGGUGGAAGGUUUGGAUCUUUCGUCUUUGUGGGGUUGAUUAGUGUUAGAAAUUUGGACUAAUUCUUAUAAUUAUCAAUUAGAGGGAAUAUACUUCCUCAGUGACAUCACAAACUCCAGAAAUAGGGAAUAUACUUCCUCAAGACUCAGGAUCAAUGAUAGCUAACAGACUAACAGUUCAUGAAUAAAACAUUAUUUCUGUACAUGUGAUAAACUUGCUCUUGGGUUCUGGGGUUGGGUUUUAUGUUUCAUUCUACCUGUGUGUUCAUAUUCAGUUGUUUUAUUAGAUGGGCAGUUGUACUCUAUAAUCUGUCUGUUACCAGGAUUCAUGAAAACCUUAGAUUUUAAAGACCCAUCAUGCAAUUGAAAGUUGGGGCAACUAUUAUGACUUGAUGUAUGGAUAGCAGGCACAUAUGAUGUCUUUGAGAUUUAGCUAAGGAGAAUGAACAAACCUUAGCUGUUUGUUGGAUUCUUGUUGCAGCUUUUGAAUGGAAAAAUAAAUGUACAUGUAUGGUGGAACCAUUAUUCAAUCAAUUCUUUUUUUUUUUUUACAUUCUAAGAUUA